This 2078-nucleotide ribosomal RNA is filed under the name Murrayon dianeae. RNAcentral's name for it is "partial 28S ribosomal RNA". It matches the Rfam family "Eukaryotic large subunit ribosomal RNA", at positions 44 to 1868 of the family's 3401-position model. Lineage: Eukaryota; Metazoa; Tardigrada; Eutardigrada; Parachela; Murrayidae. The record is from RNAcentral.
UACUAAGCGGAGGAAAAGAAACCAACGGGGAUUCCCAUAGUAACUGCGAGUGAAAGGGGAACAGCCCAGCGCCGAAUCCUGCUGCUGGCAACGGUGGCAGGAACUGUGGCGUGAAGAAAGUCUUUACUGACAUGGCUUGCCUGCGUAAGUUCUCCUGAGUGAGGCUCCAUCCCACGGAGGGUGCAAGGCCCGUAUCGCGAGCAGCCGAUGGCAGUGUAAACUUUCAGAGAGUCGCCUUGUUUGCGAGUACAAGGUGAAGUCGGAGGUAAAUUUCUUCGAAGGCUAAAUAUGACCACGAGACCGAUAGCGAACAAGUACCGUGAGGGAAAAUUGAAAAGCACUUUGAAGAGAGAGCGAAACAGUGCGUGAAACCGCUCAGAGGCAAGCAGAUGGGGCCUCGAAGGCAAAGCAGCGAAUUCAGUUGGCUGUCCGUGUGGCUGGUUGGCAUUUGAGAUCGCAAGACUCUGGCUGGCUGCGUCUGCAUGGCUACCAAUGCACUUUCGUUGUUUGUACGCCACCGCCGUUGAGCGAGCGUCCGCCGGGUUGGCGUGUGAAGCCUUAUGCCUUUCGGGGUGUAGGUGCUUACUGCCUUUCUGUGCGCGUUCGCACCUCAACCGGUCAUGUCAGCAUGUGCCAGCUUUAGCGUUGGACUGGUGUGCUCCGAUUAGGUGUCCGGGAUGACGAGCUUGCUCGGCUUUUGGAUACCUGGUGGACUCGCUGCUAGUUUUCAACGUCGGUACAUUGUAGAUUCGGUGGCGAGUAGACGGCUGCCCAUCUAACCCGUCUUGAAACACGGACCAAGGAGUUCAACAUGCCUGCUAGUUGUUGGGACUUGAAGCCCGCUAGCAAAGUGAAAGCAAGACACAGUGUAACGCUGUGUAUUGGCGUGAUCCCGUCACUUGGAUGUUAAAGUCUGAGCCGGGCGCAUCGCCGGAACAUCAUAAGCUCACGUGGCCGUGGUGUAUCCUGAGCAAGCACGUUGAGACCCGAAAGAUGGUGAACUAUGCCUGGGCAGGAUGAAGCCAGGGGAAACUCUGGUGGAGGUCCGUAGCGAUUCUGACGUGCAAAUCGAUCGUCUGACCUGGGUAUAGGGGCGAAAGACUAAUCGAACCAUCUAGUAGCUGGUUCCCUCCGAAGUUUCCCUCAGGAUAGCUGUUGCUCAAGAGAACGUAGUCUCUCCCGGUAAAGCGAAUGAUUAGAGGCCUUGGGGUCGAAACGACCUUAACCUAUUCUCAAACUUUAAAUGGGUGAGAAGUCUGCCUUGGUUAAAUGCGUAGCUCAAGUGCGGACGUUGGAUACGAGUAGCUAGUGGGCCAAUUUUGNNNNNNNNNNNNNNNNNNNNNNNNNNNNNNNNNNNNNNNNNNNNNNNNNNNNNNNNNNNNNNNNNNNNNNNNNNNNNNNNNNNNNNNNNNNNNNNNNNNNUGCCGAAGCAACUAGCCCUGAAAAUGGAUGGCGCUAGAGCGAGUGGCCUAUACUCGGCCGUUGCAGCAGCAGAAACGACAAGUCAAGCUGCAACGAGUAGGAGGGUCGCGGCCGUUGCGUCGAAGGCUUACGGGCGUGAGCCUGGCUGGAGCAGCGGUCGGUGCAGAUCUUGGUGGUAGUAGCAAAUACUCAAGCGAGAACCUUGAGGACUGAAGUGGUAGAAGGGUUUCGUGUGAACCGCAUUGGGACACGAGUCAGUCGAUCCUAAGGUAUCGGCGAAAGCCGUUCAGAAGCGGUGUGGAUGUGCUUUCGGGCACAGGUUGCUGACUGGGUUUUCUCAAGCAGUGAUCACCGCACCUACCGAAAGGGAAUUGGGUUAAUAUUCCCAAACCCGGCAUCGGAUAUUGGUUGGCUUUCGGGCUGACACAUGCGGUAACGCAAAUGAACUCAGAGACGGUGAAACCUGCCCUGGAAAGAGUUGUCUUUUCUUCAUAAGGCACAGGCUCCCUGGAAUCGGAUCAUCCGGCGAUAGGGAGAUGGUGUUCCGUAGAGCAGCGCGGUUCUUGCGCUGUCCGGUGCGCAGGUUUCGCUCCUUGAAAAUUUGAGGGAGAGUGUAAUUUUCGUGCCGGAUCGUACCCAUAUCCGCAGCAGUCUCC